Long non-coding RNA from Homo sapiens (human), 1736 nucleotides. The record is from Ensembl. Lineage: Eukaryota; Metazoa; Chordata; Mammalia; Primates; Hominidae.
GCAAUUGCCAAGCGCUAAGGCACAAGCUGGCAGAUGUGCUGCGGCUCUGCUACGGGCGGCUCUGUCGCCUUCAGUCGCAGGCUGGUUCUUUGGGGGAAAGUUGUAUCCAAUAUUGGUGACUCCCGGGAAUAGUCUGUUUGUGUGCUACUUAAUGGUCUCUAGGCUUCCUUGUCUUGUAGAACCUUGUUAGAAAGGAGCCUUGGUGAUUAAGAGGCUAUGGAGUACACAGCCUUGCUUAGCAGAUGAGCCCUUAUCCAUUUCCCGUUUCCUUAAAAACGGCUAAUUGAUGGAUGCUGCAGAAAACAUGCACUCUGCUAAUAAGAUGCUGAUGACAAAAUAGGUAUCAGGAAAGGCAUUUACUGCUUAUGAGCACCAUCAGCUUUCUUUCGAGUGAGAUUGUGGCUUUGUAGUAAAGUUUUUUUUUAAGUAAUAUGCUAAUAGUUUUAUUCUAAAUCGGCCAGCGCUGAAUAUCUUCAGGAAAAUGGGUUCCAUGAGAAGUGACAUCCUCCUCGAAUCAAAAGAUUCUCAGGAUGAUGGAGUGAGUGAUGGAAUAGGUUGCCAACUGUAGUUACUCCACUCAGCACAGAAUGGCUGCGGGGAAAUAUAAUCAGACAUGCCCAAAGAAGUCUGCUUAGGGUGAAACAAAUACCUUUGAGGUUUAAAUCAGAAAGGAAGGAGAGACUGUUUCUACAGGUGUCAUACAAAAAUCAAUACUGAGCCAAGGAUUAUUGGAUCCCAUAGAACCACGGAGACUUGGUAGUGAAAUUCUUCCAAAGGCAGAUGGUGUUCCUAGGUUUGGAAAUAUAAAUCCCAUGGGAAGUCAGCUGAAGACCAUUUUAUGCAUCACUCAUCCUGUUAGAGCCCUGUGCUGUUCUGUCUCUCUAUAAGACUGGCUGAAACCACCACGGUUGUUUACAAUUUAUGCUCUAACUUUGGAUCACCUAGUUAAUACUCUAACUCCGAUUAUUACCAAAGACAAUGUUCUAUAAAAGAUAUUGUCUAUUAGAAGGAUGCUUCUGCAUUAUUAAUAAAAUCACAGGGAAAAUGCAACAUUUUGGAUGUCACAUCUGAUAAGUUGGCAGUUAAAGAACAGAAACAGCAAUAAGACUGCGUGGCUACAUUUUCCCAGUGCCACCAACUGGGAUUUAAGCUGACUAACAUUUUGAAAGCCCAGCCCAUUUCAUUCACAGCAGGAUGGCAGUGGGUGACUGAUCGUACCCGCCAGCUGGCUAAUGUCAUAAUUAACAAAGUUGCUACUACAUCUGCAAAGUUUAAUCGAAAAAUUUGCCAGUGAUAUGAUGGCCUUGUCACAGAGAUCACAAGGGACACGGAGUUGACUUUUGCUCAAGGUGGAACGACAGAGCUGUGUAGGCAAGAUGAGAAAUUGCGAACUUGUUCGGCCAAAGGAGGCUAAUAAUGAAGGGGCCGGGAAGGAGGCCAGUGCUACCAGGGUUAUCUCACAACCUCAGAUGCUGGAUAAGUCGACGGAGGCAGAAUCGCUUUGGGAUGACAUUCAGAAAGCCUGGAGUGAUUACUUGCAAGAGAAAAGCCUACCUAUUCUUUCCAAGGUGCAGGAAUAUUCCCCUGACCUGCUCAUCCAGUGGUCCAGUAAUGAAUUACUGGAGACCUGCCUUAGACAAAGAAUGCACUCGGAGCCCCAACACACCUAAAGCCAUGCUUUGAAGGAUCUGCCAAGCUCACUUUUAAUCAUGAGAAAGAAAUUACCCACACGGAGU